Molecule: ribosomal RNA, 949 nt
Filed under: uncultured eukaryote
Lineage: Eukaryota
Description: bacterial SSU rRNA
Rfam family: Eukaryotic small subunit ribosomal RNA
Source: RNAcentral
CCGCGGUAUUCCAGCUCCAAUAGUGUAUAUUAACGUUGUUGCAGUUAAAAGGCUCGUAGUCGAACUUGUGGCAUUGACGCCUGGAUCCAGUGCUUCGCGCACCGGCUUUCUAUGGUAUCUUGCCAUCUUUCCGGGGCGCAUCUCUUGCUCUUCACUGAGUGGUUUUGUUAUCCGGAUCCUUUACUGUGAGUAAAUCAAAGUGUUUAAGGCAGGCAUGAUAGCUUGAAUGUAUUAGCAUGGAAUAAUAAGAUAGGACUUCUGUUCUAUUUUGUUGGCUUCUAGAACUGAAGUAAUGAUUGAAAGGGAUAGUUGGGGGUGCUAGUAUUUAACGGUCAGCGGUGAAAUGCUCGGACCCGUUGAAGACUAACUUAUGCGAAAGCAUUCACCAAGGAUAUUUUCUUUGAUCAAGAACGAAAGUUGGGGGAUCGAAGACGAUCAGAUACCGUCGUAGUCUCAACCAUAAACUAUGCCAACUAGGGAUUGGCGGAUGUUGAUUAAUGACUCCGUCAGAACCUUACGAGAAAUCAAAGUCUCUGGGUUCUGGGGGGAGUAUGGUCGCAAGGCUGAAACUUAAAGGAAUUGACGGAAGGGCACCACCAGGAGUGGAGCCUGCGGCUUAAUUUGACUCAACACGGGAAAACUUACCCGGCCCGGACACUGGGAGGAUUGACAGAUUGAGAGCUCUUUCUUGAUUCAGUGGGUGGUGGUGCAUGGCCGUUCUUAGUUGGUGGAGUGAUUUGUCUGGUUAAUUCCGAUAACGAACGAGACUCUAGCCUACUAAAUAGACCGUUGACCCUUUGUGUUGACGGGACUUCUUAGAGGGACAAGCGGCAAUUAAGCCGUAUGAAAAAGAGCAAUAACAGGUCUGUGAUGCCCUUAGAUGUCCGGGGCCGCACGCGCGCUACACUGAAGUGAUCAGCGUGCAUAGCUUACCCGCUCUGAAAAGAGU